GAUGAACGCUGGCGGCGUGCUUAACACAUGCAAGUCGAACGGAAAGGCCCUUGCUUGCAGGGGUACUCGAGUGGCGAACGGGUGAGUAACACGUGGGUGAUCUGCCCUGCACUUCGGGAUAAGCCUGGGAAACUGGGUCUAAUACCGGAUAGGACCAUCGCUUAGUGUCGGUGGUGGAAAGUUUUUGCGGUGUGGGAUGGGCUCGCGGCCUAUCAGCUUGUUGGUGGGGUAAUGGCCUACCAAGGCGUCGACGGGUAGCCGGCCUGAGAGGGUGUACGGCCACAUUGGGCCUGAGAUACGGCCCAGACUCCUACGGGAGGCAGCAGUGGGGAAUAUUGCACAAUGGGCGCAAGCCUGAUGCAGCGACGCCGCGUGGGGGAUGACGGCCUUCGGGUUGUAAACUCCUUUCGUCAGGGACGAAGCGAAAGUGACGGUACCUGGAUAAGAAGCACCGGCUAACUACGUG
This 466-nucleotide ribosomal RNA is filed under the name uncultured bacterium. RNAcentral's name for it is "partial 16S ribosomal RNA". It matches the Rfam family "Bacterial small subunit ribosomal RNA", at positions 28 to 507 of the family's 1533-position model. The record is from RNAcentral.